UGAUGUAGCUCAGUCGGUAGAGCGCAUCCUUGGUAAGGAUGAGGUCGGCGGUUCGAAUCCGCCCAUCA
Molecule: transfer RNA, 68 nt
Filed under: bovine gut metagenome
Rfam family: tRNA
About the family: Transfer RNA (tRNA) molecules are approximately 80 nucleotides in length. Their secondary structure includes four short double-helical elements and three loops (D, anti-codon, and T loops).
Source: RNAcentral